Diachasma alloeum is the source of this 2607-nucleotide RNA transcript. RefSeq lists it as uncharacterized. The record is from RefSeq and is a predicted model, not a curated record. Lineage: Eukaryota; Metazoa; Arthropoda; Insecta; Hymenoptera; Braconidae. The transcript has 2 exons.
UUAUAAUCUCUGGUGGGUUUAGGAAAAAAGAAGAAUAAUUUAGAAAAAUAUAUGGAUUUAAUUGUCACUGACAGUGCUGAUGAGUUGGCGAGGAUAGGAGUAUUUUAUAUUUUCUUCUUCUCGCUGUCUUCGAGGUCGAGGACGACACCGAGAAGUCCUUCAUGAGAUCCGUCCAGGGAUCGUCCUCACAGCACCGGAUAAACGGUUCGAUGGUGACCUCUUAGGCUUACCUAACGGAGCUGGAGCACCUGGGGAUCAACCUCAAAGCCAACAACUUCCUGGUGUUCCAGGGGCUAUGGAGUGUAUCGCCAUGAAGAACCCGAAGGAACGGACAACCCUCUUCAAGGAGAUCUUUGAUUUUGGGGCUUUAAAAUCAGAAUACGAACGUCUCAGGACUGGAAUGUUUCGUGCAAUGAAGCUGCCCUAGAUGAUCAGAAAAAACUGUGUCAAGAGCUGCAGUGAGACGUGGGCAUCUCCAAGGGCAAGGUUCAGAAUCUACAAUCUGUACGAUAUGUGCGAGCUCAUGUACAAACGUUACAACGUGGCUAUCACGAAUGUCCUGACGAAGGGAGUUGCGAAAAUUGUGACUGAGAUGGAUACUCGCCAACGUCCAGUCUCAAUAAAAUAACACAUGAUGCGGAAAAAACAUAGCAGUUAGAAAUAAUGCAGGAAUAAAAACGAUUGACUAUAAUGUCAUGACAUUUUUUGAAACUGUAUGUGCUGUUGCCAAUUGAGUAGGGGUGGGUCAAGUCAGGCAGUCCAUAGGGGAGUUCCUGAUCCAAAAAGAAGCUAGUGAUGUCACUUGAAGCAUUUGUUCUCGAGAUAAUCAGUGAAAACGAUUCUUGAACAGAAAUGUGAUGUCGCGGAGUUUUUGGGGGAAUCGUGGGGCAAAAUGGGUUCAUAGGAUUGAAUAUUUUCAUGGCUUUAUUAUGAAUUUUGAUUUGGGAUUGUAACUAUUAUAGUUCUCGAGAUAAUCGAAAUUCUAUCGACGUUUUGGAGAAUUGAAUUAAACUUCUUAACAUUUUUUUUGGAGUUCUUGGGGCAAAGGGUGGGGGUUUAUCAUGUCAGGGAGUCCAUAGAGGAGUUCCUGAUCCAAACAGAAGCUGGGGAUGUCUCUUGAAGCAUUCGUCCUCGAGAUAAUGAGUAAAAACGAAUCUUGGACAGAAAUGUGAUUUCGUUGAGUUUUUGGGGGAAUCGUGGAGCAAAACGGGUUCAUAAAGGGUCGGUGGGAUUGGAAAUUUUCCUGGCUUCAUUAUGAAUUUUGAUUUGAGGUUCUGAAUAUUGUAGUUCUCGAGAUGAUCAAAAUUCUACGGCCAUUUUGGGAAAUUGAAUUAAACACUUGAAAUUUCCAGAAAAUUUUAUUCAAUUUUUUUCUGACCCACCAAUUUUCAUUUCAAAUUCAUUUAAUUCACCGUUGAAUUUCGUGAAAAUGUUUAGUGUGUCUAAAAAUGGAAGAAACUUGCCGAAUUCACUGAAUUACAGAUAAAAGCCUUUGUCAGUGACUUUACACUCUAAUAAAAAUAAACAAACUGUUGGAUAGUCAAAGUGGUUUGAGAAAUGCUAUAAAAAGAAAAUAGAAAGUGUUUCUGAUAGAAUCUGUCUGAAUUAAAAGUUUCAAAUAUUAUUAUUCUUUUAUUCUCAUAUUCAAUCAAUAACAAAAUUGAGGAACGUUUUCAACAACAAAUUUUGUCAGCAGAUUUUGUUUCUACUGAAAUGAUUUUAGGAAUUCAUGUCAAAAGACCUCUUAUGUAGUUAAAAAAAAUAUUCAUAAGAAAUCUUUCUUUUGUCACUUUCCCCUUUAAAAUCAUUCGUUACCAAAAUAAUUAAAGACUUGUUAAGAUGAAUACUGUGUUUUUCUCUUAGCUAUAAGCUCCAUGAAUGUGGAUGUCAUAAAUAUAUUCAGGUGAAUUAUUCAAUUCUUUCUCGGAUCCAAUGGCUUCAGAUUAUUUAUUUUGUUUGUUGAUUCAAUUCACUAGUGCAUCUUAUAGAAAUUGUCAGUUUCUUCUCGAUGUUUCGCCCCCAUACCUGCAAUAGAAAUUUAUAAGAAUUAAUAUUUUAAGAAUUCUGCUAAAAAAAACCUUUAUCAGUUGCUUUAGAUUCGAAUGAAAUAAACAAACCCUUCAACAAAAAAUUCGUUCAGAACAAUUCAUGAAUAGUAAACAGAAAUUGUUUCUGAUAGAGUCUGUCUGAAUGAAAAGUUUCAAAUAUUAUUAUCGUUUUAUUUUCCUAUUGCAUCAAUAACAAAAUUAUGAAAAGUUUUCAUUCAACAAUGAUAUUGUCAAUAGAUUAUGGAAUGCGUCAUUUUCGGAGUUUAUGUCAAGAGACUUCUGUGUAGUUGAAAAAAUCUAUGGCAAUCUGUCUUUUCACAAUUUCCCUCUAGAAUAACUCAUUCCCAAAAUGAUUAAAUAUUUACCGAGAAGAAGAAAAUAUAAAAUACUCGUAGCCUCGCCAACUCAUCAGCACUGUCAGUGACAAUUAAAUCCACAUAUUUUUGACUCGCUGUUUGAAGAUGGCGGCGUGAGGUGGGCAUGAGCCCACUGAAAUGUAGUAUAUACUGGAAAGGGCACUGAUCCGCCUGACACGAGCCGACAGAGAGGGGCGAUUUUC